UGAACAUUUCGAAUAAUGGCGGCGGAAAAUGCGAGCGAUGAAUAUAAAUGGACUGAUGUAGACACUGCAGCUCUCAUCAGUUGGAGAUCUACGAAUGAGGGCAUGUUCACGGGCAGGAGGAAUGCGGCGCAGAAGGGGUUCGAAGAAUUUAUUAAGGUCCAGGGGCUAGAGGGGAAGAUGGAGGCCACCAAAAUUAAAAGGAAAUGGGAGAACCUCAAACAAAAAUAUAAGGAGUUGAAAGCACCCAGGACAGGGGUGAGCACUGAGGGAGGAGAGACCACUGCUGCAUCCUGGAAGUGGUAUGGGCCAAUGGAUGAGGCACUAGGCGGGAGGCCAUCAAUAAGUCCUCCCGUACUAGUGGACUCAUCCGCCCAGGAUGUGGCAGUGGUCUCUCCUCCCUCAGUGCACCCGAGUACCCCAAAUCUGGGCAAAAGGAAGAGGGAGUCUGAAUGGCAGGAAAUAUUAAAGGAAAUCCAGGAGAAGGAGGAAGAAAGAGAGCUAAUUCAGAUAGAAAGAGAAGAAAGGCGAGAGAGAGAGGCGAUGGAAAGAGAGGAUCGGAAGGAGAGAGAGCGGCUGCAGCGUGAGGAGAGGAAAGAGAAGGAAAUGCUGGAAAGAGAAGAAAGAAGAGAGAAGGAGAACCAAGAGAGGGAGGACAGGCGGUAUCGGGAGAUGAAAGAGGCAGAAGAAAGACGAGAGAGGGAGAGCAAGGCUAGGGAGGACAAGCUGCUCGAUGUCCUAAAAGUAUUCUUACAAAAGAAAUAAAGGAACAUUUAAAUAAGCAUUUCAUGUCUGCUCUUUCAUAUAAUUUAGAAAAUAAUUUAGUUAUAACAAAUCAUUUUUAUUGAACAAGUUGUGAAUAUAAUUGUUAGUAAGACAGGACAAGGUUAAUAAAACACAAAAGACGGAACAUGGGGCAUACACAGACAAAAGACAACACUAGGAAAAAGCAAAGAACUAUAUACAGGUAUACUAUUUAACUAUUUACAAAUGAGUCUCCAGGGUGCAGACCAUGUUCAGUACACAUGAUCUCUCAGUGCAUCUAUGCAGGCAUUUGGUGCAGAGACAGCAGCAGCCAGUCUGCGCCUGAUGUUGUCCCCUGGUUCCACAGCAUGCUGCAUUUCAUUGUUGUCGGGGAGAUCCUGUGGAAAGUCUCCUGGCUCCACAAAGUCUCCAUUUGAUAGGCACAAGUUGUGGAGGAAGACACAGCAGGACACCACCACUGGGGCAAAGGUUGACUUUACCUAUGUGCAGAGAUGGGCAGUAUUUUAAAUUAGAUGUAUUUAAAAUAUGCAUUUAAUUACUUUUGAGUAUCUUAUUCAACAUAAGACAAAAUAGAAACUAAUCUGUAACAGACAGAUAUUGCAUGCCAAGGAAAGCUACUGAAUAACAGUGAAAUACAAGCAUUUUCUCAUAUUGUCAUUUUAUGCUCAUUUAAAUUUCAUAAGCAUUUGCACAUUGACACACACACUUGUAUGUAUUAUGUUUUCUUUACCUCAAGGGCCUUCAGAAAGAUGGAUCUCCACCUGGUCUUCAUCAUCCUGAAGGCCCUCUCCACAACACACCUUGCCUUUGACAGGUGCUUGUUGUACCUGGCCUGUACGGGGCCCUGUACUGGCUCCCGGAACGGGGUCAUCAGGCAGAUGGGGGUAGCAAGGCAAGGAUAGCCUCCAUCGCCUAUGAUGCACCACCCAGGUGGUGGGUACAGCUGCUGCACAUACACAGAGCUCCACCUGAGCACCCAGGCAUCAUGGACCGAGCCAGGAAGGCCAACAAAAGCAUUGAGGAAGCGCCCUUUAUGGUCACAAAUGGCCUGCAGCUGAAUUGAAUGGAACAACUUUCUAUUAUGAUAAUCCUCCUUGUAUUCCCCAGGAGGCUUUAUUCUAAUGUGCAAAGCUGCAAACUUGUCGCUUUUCGGCGACAAUCGCCGUUUUCUUGCUCAAUUUGGUCAUUCACGUGAAUCGUGUAGAACCGGAGAGUUUUGUUUUGGGGAGGGGGGGGGGGGGUCCAGAAUUGCGAAAAAUUAUCGGAUCAUUCUUAUAAUUGACAUUUAUCUGGGCCAAUCGGAAUCUCAGCACUUGCUUCAGAAUCUUUCUUAUAGUUGUCAUUUCUCUGGGCCAUUCGGAAUCUUGAAGCACACAGCGCCAACUGAGCUCGCCAUUGGAUGAGACGGUCGCCUUGCUACCACGCAUCCGCAUCCACACAUGCGCAUGCUGCAUGCAGCUAAACAACGCAAGAGAGCUUGCGAAACACUCGUCCAGAGGGGUGUUCCACGAACGGAGGUUUAACAAACACUGAGUUAACGCUGAACUCUAGGUUGAUUUACCCUGUGCCGACUAACCCAGAGUUUUCGGUUCCACAGCAGCGGUUAUGCACUAGUUCAAUCAACUCGGGGUUGAUUAACACAGGGUUGUGCGCGUCCACGCCAAACCUAAAAAGACGUGAUGUAUGGAUCAUGGAAACCCUGAUCGAAAUGGCGAAACGGGCAGCUUAUUUCAAUGAAAUGGAACUUCAGGUUCCCCUGGAGAGCUA
RNAcentral lists this long non-coding RNA (2529 nucleotides) under Gadus morhua (Atlantic cod). Its description in RNAcentral is "lncRNA (ENSGMOG00000031646.1)". Lineage: Eukaryota; Metazoa; Chordata; Actinopteri; Gadiformes; Gadidae. The record is from RNAcentral.